GGAGUUUGAGCCUGGCUCACAGCGAACGCUGGCGGCGUGCUUAACACAUGCAAGUCCAACGCGCAGCAUUCUGUAGCAAUACAGGAUGUGGGCGCGUGGCGAACGGGUGCGUAACACGUGGAUAACCUUCCUUCAGGUGGGGAAUAACCCCGCGAAAGCGGGGCUAAUACCGCAUAACAUGACGAUGCCACAUGGUGUUGUCUUCAAAGCCGCAAGGCGCCAGAAGAGGGAUCCGCGGCCGAUUAGCUUGUUGGCGAGGUAAUGGCUCACCAAGGCUUUGAUCGGUAGCCGGACUGAGAGGUUGGCCGGCCACACUGGAACUGAGACACGGUCCAGACUCCUACGGGAGGCAGCAGUGGGGAAUCUUGCACAAUGGACGAAAGUCUGAUGCAGCAACGCCGCGUGGGGGAUGAAGCUUUUCGGAGUGUAAACCCCUUUCGACCCGGAAGAAUGCCCGCAAGGGUUUGACGGUACGGGUAUAAGAAGCCCCGGCUAACUACGUGCCAGCAGCCGCGGUAAUACGUAAGGGGCCAGCGUUGCUCGGAAUUACUGGGCGUAAAGGGUCCGUAGGCGGUGUGGCAAGUCGGGAGUGAAAUCUCUGGGCUUAACCCAGAGGCUGCUUCCGAAACUGCCAUGCUAGAGUGUGAGAGAGGCGAGUGGAAUUACAGGUGUAGCGGUGAAAUGCGUAUAUACCGUAGGAUAUCCGAGGCAAAGCGGCUCGCUGGAUCACAACUGACGCUGAGGGAUAAAGCUAGGGGAGCAAACUGGAUUAGAUACCCUGGUAGUCCUACCC
Molecule: ribosomal RNA, 793 nt
Filed under: uncultured soil bacterium
Lineage: Bacteria
Description: bacterial SSU rRNA
Rfam family: Bacterial small subunit ribosomal RNA
Source: RNAcentral